UGGCAGACACUGCAUAUGAUGCAUCGGCAGACUGGUGGUCAUUCGGUGUCGUUGUUUAUGAAAUGGCCACCGGCAUGCUGCCCUUUUCACCAGCUGGAACCUCUCAAGAACAACUAGACAACAUCAUGAGCAGGGAGCCAUAUUAUCCUAAACAUGUUAGGCCAAAAUUGCGCGACUUCAUACAACAGCUUUUGAAGAAGAAGGCCGAACAUCGCCUUGGAGUGUGCGCCAAUGUCCAGGACCACCCUUUUUUCUCUUCAGUUAAUUGGAAGAAUUUAAAGAAACAAAGAUUGGUGCCCCCUCUAACACCAACGAUUAAACCAAUUGAUGGGCUCAGCAACAUUCCCUUUCCAGAAUACAACAUCACUGGGACUUGCAUGAUCAAGGACCUCACCUACAUAGAUCCAACUUGGCUGGACAAAUAAUUCAUCUUUGUUCCACCAGCAAGGUAGAGGUUUGAGAAUGAUUCCCAUCAAAUGACCAUUCAAAAGCUGUGCAGCCAUUCCACCAUAAUAUCCGCUAACACCUGGCUUACUCCUCCAUCCUUUGAUAUCAGGAAGGUUCUCAACACAUGUACCAACUGACCUAAUAAGUGCAGGUUGGUAGCACUGUGGGAUAGGUAAGUAACACCACCAGAGAAAGUACUUCUAUGCUUUUUACAUAAGUUCUUAAUUAAGAUGGUAUAUAUUAUAAGUAGCCACAGAGCUAAAUACCAUCAUAAACCUGAUGCCACAAAUAUACUUUCACCACAAUGGCACAGAUGCAGGAAAAGUACCAUUUUAAAAGAUCCUAUGCCCAGACAUAUAUCAUCUGGGAUACUGUCAUCUAAGUACUUACUGGUGGUUAUUUUGUUCUUGUUCUAAGUUUGAAAAAAAAAAAAAAAAAAAAAAAAAACUUUCCCUCCUUCCCGUGUUAAUGCUAACCAGUUACUGUUUUACCUUUCUUUCCCUUUCCUUUUUUUUUCCUUCCCCAGUUCUCAUAGCCUGUGCUGUCAACAGAGAGGAGGGUCGGGGUGGGCCUAGCUGGUGGC
This is a long non-coding RNA of Xenopus tropicalis (tropical clawed frog), 1030 nucleotides long. RefSeq lists it as uncharacterized. Lineage: Eukaryota; Metazoa; Chordata; Amphibia; Anura; Pipidae. The transcript has 5 exons. The record is from RefSeq and is a predicted model, not a curated record.